RNAcentral lists this ribosomal RNA (337 nucleotides) under uncultured bacterium. Its description in RNAcentral is "bacterial SSU rRNA". It matches the Rfam family "Bacterial small subunit ribosomal RNA", at positions 29 to 351 of the family's 1533-position model. The record is from RNAcentral.
AACGAACGCUGGCGGCGUGGAUUAGGCAUGCAAGUCGAACGGUCUGUCUAGCUUUUUCGGACGGAUAGUGGCGAAAGGGUGAGUAACACGUGGGUUACCUGCCCUAGGGUGUGGGAUAACCUGUCGAAAAGACGGGCUAAUACCGCAUACGUCCUAUGCUUUUCGAAGCAUAGGGGAAAGAUGGGGAUCCGUAAGGACCUAUCACCCUUGGAUGGGCCCGCGGCCUAUCAGCUAGUUGGUGAGGUAAUGGCUCACCAAGGCUAAGACGGUAGCUGGUCUGAGAGGAUGGUCAGCCACACUGGAACUGAGACACUGUCCAGACACCUACGGGAGGCAG